UAACUGUGCCCGUGGGGAGAACUUC
RNAcentral lists this microRNA (25 nucleotides) under Equus caballus (horse). Its description in RNAcentral is "eca-miR-9109". The record is from miRBase by way of RNAcentral. Lineage: Eukaryota; Metazoa; Chordata; Mammalia; Perissodactyla; Equidae.